UCUCCGUAGGUGAACCUGCGGAGGGAUCAUUACAGAGUUCAUGCCCUACCGGGUAAAUCUCCCACCCUAUGUUAUUAUUACUUUGUUGCUUUGGCGGGCCGUUAGGCUCCGGCCCGACUACCGGCCCCGGCUGGUAAGCGCCCGCCAGAGGACCCAAAACCCUGAAUAUUAGUGUCGUCUGAGUACUAUAUAAUAGUUAAAACUUUCAGCAACGGAUCUCUUGGCUCUC
RNAcentral lists this unclassified non-coding RNA (229 nucleotides) under plant metagenome. RNAcentral describes it as "partial contains small subunit ribosomal RNA, internal transcribed spacer 1, and 5.8S ribosomal RNA". The record is from RNAcentral.